AAAGAGUUGAGAAACUCCCCAGACCACUGUGAACCUUACCAGACGUUGCUUCGGCGGGCCGGCUCCAGAGCCGCGUGAGCCCCACUCCCUCUUUGAAAGAGGGAGAGCCCACUUCCUCUUUGAAAGAGGGAGGGGGGGGGGGGCCUGCCGGAGGUAUCUAAACCAAUGUCUUUUUUGCAUGGCCUCUCUGAACAACUGUAAUAUAGUUAA
Molecule: unclassified non-coding RNA, 210 nt
Filed under: soil metagenome
Description: partial internal transcribed spacer 1
Source: RNAcentral